CGGUUAGGAUUCCUGGUUUUCACCCAGGCGGCCCGGGUUCGACUCCCGGUAUGGGAACACAGUUUUUUCAAUGAAUCAGACCAAACCGAUACAGCUAGAUUCUGGCAUACACGAACAAAGAUGACUGCACACAGCUAGGCUUUGUAUUUGUGGUCUGCCUCAACAAAACCUAAAGCCCCAAUUGUCAUCUUGCUUUGUCAAGUCCGGUUUGACAUGACGUUAUUCAACUUUCUCGCAAAAUGGAGCGAUCCCAGUGAACAUAUUACAGGAAAAUAAAAAGACCAUCACCAAAAGCAACACUGUCGCUGCCAACCUGGAAAGGCAUCAGUGCUGGGAGAAAAUUACCGACUGUGUAGAUCCGUAAUAAUAUUAUGUUGACAAUAGCGUGCAGUGAUCGCGUGUACCUAAUCAUUUACAAACUAAUGAGCCUGCACUUGGUGUCAUGCAGGAUGCUUGUGAUUGGAUAACGAGGCGCAUCCGUGCCCUUUAAAACCGGAAAACCUGUUACUGUUGCAAAAUGGCGUGCGUGAAAGCACAGAGAGAAGAGUUUUUCUGUUAUGGCGACGGUGUAGCAGCAGACCCAUGUCGCCAUGAACUGGGCCGGUGGACUCCACCACGCCCGUUCCUUAGCUGUUCAAGACAUCGGGGCUGGAAAGAGCAAAUACCAUGCACUGAAUUACCCACGAAGCCAUCUUUAAACCGGACGUAAAGCGAUAUACCAGCGCAGUGGUCUUUGAGUGUGGAGCCGGUUCAACGUCACUAUUAAAGAAGUGAUAGAGGAGGAAGAGAGAGUGUUGGUUUUGAUUUUGUCCAAAUAAAGUAUUUUUAUGUUACUUGAAUAUGAAAUUCUUUAAAUUACUAAGUAGUGGCACAAAGCAAAUGAGUGGUUUGCUGAAGUAGAUUGUAGUGGUUAAUUGAAGCGUUUUGUAACAUGCUAGAGCUAAACACAAUUUCAAACAAAAUACACCUGACAAUUGUUUUCAAAAACCCACCAUUUCAAUCACAUGUAGCCACCGUGCCCAGCUUUUUUUUUUAUUUUUUUUUUAACACCCGCUGGAAGCCCAAAGCCCCUCGUAUCUCACGCGCGGGAUAUGCAACCAUAAAUGAGGACCGUACAGCAUUCCUAUUUCUGUUAUUUCCAAUAUCAGUGCGCCCUC
Long non-coding RNA from Cynoglossus semilaevis (tongue sole), 1157 nucleotides. RefSeq lists it as uncharacterized. The transcript has 5 exons. Lineage: Eukaryota; Metazoa; Chordata; Actinopteri; Pleuronectiformes; Cynoglossidae. The record is from RefSeq and is a predicted model, not a curated record.